Molecule: long non-coding RNA, 1195 nt
Organism: Lemur catta (Ring-tailed lemur)
Lineage: Eukaryota; Metazoa; Chordata; Mammalia; Primates; Lemuridae
Exons: 2
Source: RefSeq, a predicted model, not a curated record
CAGGCUGACGUGGCGGCCCCGGCGUCCUCGGCGCGUGCUGGGGGCGCAGGCGCGCGGGGUUCAAUACAACCUAGGGGCUUCGUGGGGUAGCUUUGGGGAGAUGGUUCUCAGGCCCUGCGCUCCUUUGGCGAGAAUCCGGGUGGGAAAGAGCACUCAUCAUUGACUGAUGGUUGUCUUUGUUUCCUUGGCUGCUGUCUGUCUCACUGCACUAGAUGGUAAGCUUUAAAGGCCAAGGGUGUCUUGUUCACCAUUGUAUCUCCAGCUCCUGGAACCGUGCCUGGCACAGAGCACACACUGCAUUAAUAUGUCAUGUGUGAAUAGAUAAAAGAAUGGAGACUGUCAUAGGUAAAAUUCUAAGGUAUCCCGGAAUUCCCAUCCCCUGAUAGAUAUGCCCUGUAUAAUCCCUGGGGCUGUAAAUAUGGGAUAUCACCCCUGUGAUUAGGUUAUAUUAUAUGUCACAGUUGUCUUUAUGAAGGGGGGAUUGUCUGGGUAGGCCUAACCAAUCACAUAGCCCUUUAAAUCUGGACCUGGAUGUCAUAAGCAAAGGAAGUAAGAGUUUCAAAGCACAAGGAGGAUCUGCAUGGCAAGGGACUGCAGGAAGCCUCUAAGAGCUGAGAGGAGUCCCAGCCAACAGCCAGCCAGAGAGCAGGGACCUCAGUCCUACCACUGCAAGGAACUGAAUGCAGUCCGCAAUCUGUAUGAGGUUGGAAGCAGAGUCUUCCCAGAGCACCUAGAAAGGAACACAGCCCAGCAACACCUGGACUCCGGCCUGCGAAGACCCUAAGCAGAGAAUCCUGUCAUGCUGUACCUGGACUGCAGACCUACAGGCAGAGUGUGCCUAUGUGACUGGCCCCCAGUAAAAACUUUGGGUACUGAGUCCUAACAGGCUUCCCUGGUCAAUAUAUUUCACAAGUAUCAUCACAACUUGUUCCUGGAGGAAUUAAGUGUGUCCUGUGUGACUCCACUGGGAGAAAACUCUUGGAAGUUUGGCCAUUGUUUCCUCCGGAUAUCACUCCAUGUACCUUUACCCUUUGCUAAUUUUGCCGUGUAUCCUCUGUCUGUAAUACAUCAUAGCAAUGAAUAUAGCUGUAUGUGAAAUCCUGUGGGUCCUUCUAACAAAUCAUUGAGUCUGGGGGUGGUCUUGGGGACCACCUCUACAAGGCUAUCCUUAUCUAUAAAAUUAGCAUGAAGAUUU